This 595-nucleotide ribosomal RNA is filed under the name Nostoc sp. 'Pseudocyphellaria pilosella cyanobiont'. RNAcentral's name for it is "bacterial SSU rRNA". It matches the Rfam family "Bacterial small subunit ribosomal RNA", at positions 125 to 750 of the family's 1533-position model. The record is from RNAcentral. Lineage: Bacteria; Bacillati; Cyanobacteriota; Cyanophyceae; Nostocales; Nostocaceae.
UCUGCCAUCAGGUCUGGGACAACCACUGGAAACGGUGGCUAAUACCGGAUGUGCCCUUCGGGGUGAAAGGUUAACUGCCUGUUGAUGAGCUCGCGUCUGAUUAGCUAGUUGGUGUGGUAAGAGCGCACCAAGGCGACGAUCAGUAGCUGGUCUGAGAGGACGAUCAGCCACACUGGGACUGAGACACGGCCCAGACUCCUACGGGAGGCAGCAGUGGGGAAUUUUCCGCAAUGGGCGAAAGCCUGACGGAGCAAUACCGCGUGAGGGAGGAAGGCUCUUGGGUCGUAAACCUCUUUUCUCAGGGAAGAACACAAUGACGGUACCUGAGGAAUAAGCAUCGGCUAACUCCGUGCCAGCAGCCGCGGUAAUACGGAGGAUGCAAGCGUUAUCCGGAAUGAUUGGGCGUAAAGCGUCCGCAGGUGGCUAUGUAAGUCUGCUGUUAAAGAGUCUAGCUCAACUAGAUAAGAGCAGUGGAAACUACAAGGCUAGAGUGCGUUCGGGGCAGAGGGAAUUCCUGGUGUAGCGGUGAAAUGCGUAGAGAUCAGGAAGAACACCGGUGGCGAAGGCGCUCUGCUAGGCCGCAACUGACACUGAG